GGAUCGGUCACUGUUUAAAAGUCAGCGAUUGCUCAUUCAAAACAGAGUUAACAGGUUUUCGAAGAGACUGGCAAUUACAGGAAUUUGUGCAUUGACACUCGAUUGUUAGCACACGAGGCACUGCUCUAUAAACAAACACGAAGGGAGUGCUGACAGUGGAAAUAAAUAUUAGGGAGC
Long non-coding RNA from Chiloscyllium plagiosum (whitespotted bambooshark), 177 nucleotides. RefSeq lists it as uncharacterized. Lineage: Eukaryota; Metazoa; Chordata; Chondrichthyes; Orectolobiformes; Hemiscylliidae. The record is from RefSeq and is a predicted model, not a curated record.